UUCUGCCUGCAGAGUCCUUCCCCUCAGCUGGAUGGAAAUCCUGGGGUUGUGUUCCCAGGGGUUGGAACAGUGGGAUAUAAUUUCCUCUGGCAGCAAUUCCAUGGUGUGGUCGCUACUCCAAGUGCCAAAUGAAAAAAGCCUAUAAAAUGUCAGCACAGGCAGGAUUUGCCUUAGUGUGCAAUGCCAGGAUCAGUCAACAGACACGUCCAUCCUUCCUUUGUUAUGGAAGAGAUCCGUGGCUGAAUGGAGAACUGACCAGUGCAGAGUGGCAGGAUUAUUUAUUCUCUUGCAGGAUAAUUUGAUUAAUUUUCCCAAUGUUAUUUGAUAGCUAUUAUCAGGUAGAUAGUGUAUUUAAAAAGAAAAAGAGAUAGAAAAGAGAUGCUCUCUUUCAACUGUGGGUUCAUAUUUUCUUGGCUUUUUCCCCUCUCAUUUCUCCCUUUAUUUCAGGCACUCACAAUAUCUCUUUUCCCACCAUUAAAUAUAGUGCUUGGGGUUUAAAUUGCAGUCUGUAAUCCCGUGAAGUCAAAGGAUAGUUGCACAUUACAUUUGGAAGAGUGAAAGCAAUUGCAAUAGGAAAAGAAACCUUAGUGAGAAUGACCCACCAGGAAAAAGCAAACAGAAGAAAUAAUGACAGCAGUAAAAUGUGUGGGACAUCCUUUAGAUGGAAACUGUGUGACCUCAGUCUCACGUUUUCAGCUUUGUACAAGUGAACACUACAAAGACCAAAAGAAAUCUUGAUUCCAAAGUACAACCCUGUGCUCCCGAGUAUCUGAGAAGUUUGGAAGGCUCUGAAACACUGAAGUUAAAGGGAGUGUUAAUGAAAGAUCUCUUUGUGUUUUCCUGUUAAA
Molecule: long non-coding RNA, 848 nt
Organism: Pseudopipra pipra
Lineage: Eukaryota; Metazoa; Chordata; Aves; Passeriformes; Pipridae
Exons: 3
Source: RefSeq, a predicted model, not a curated record